CUGCUGAUGAGGGUCUGGUAGCGCUUGUACGUGAGCGGAGACUGGCCUCCGUUCAGCUCAAUGAUCCUGAGAGACAACAAUCCACCAUUUACAUGCAGUCCCAAGUUCUCACCCACGUUCAUUGCAAGGAAGAGACAGCAUUAAUAACAUUCUUCAAAACUCCUUUUGUGUUCAACGGUGUAAUGUCAAACCAUUUGGAACGACAUCAGGGCAACACGCAGUCAUGGAAGAACAUGUGAAGGAGAUAUCUCAAUUAAGAAGGACAAACUCUGCAUCCCAGCCUGCCCACUGAUUUAUUCAUAUGCAUGGUGCAUA
Non-coding RNA from Pimephales promelas (fathead minnow), 315 nucleotides. The record is from RefSeq and is a predicted model, not a curated record. Lineage: Eukaryota; Metazoa; Chordata; Actinopteri; Cypriniformes; Leuciscidae.